Molecule: ribosomal RNA, 494 nt
Filed under: uncultured bacterium
Lineage: Bacteria
Description: partial 16S ribosomal RNA
Rfam family: Bacterial small subunit ribosomal RNA
Source: RNAcentral
GACGAACGCUGGCGGCGUGCUUAACACAUGCAAGUCGAACGGUGAAGCGCCUUCCUUUUUGGUGGGUGUGGAUGAGUGGCGAACGGGUGAGUAACACGUGAGUAACCUGCCCCCUUCUUCUGGAUAACCGCAUGAAAGUGUGGCUAAUACGGGAUAUUCUGGGUCUGUCGCAUGAUGGGUCUGGGAAAGAUAUUGUUUCGGUGGGGGAUGGGCUCGCGGCCUAUCAGCUUGUUGGUGGGGUGAUGGCCUACCAAGGCGGUGACGGGUAGCCGGCCUGAGAGGGUGGACGGUCACACUGGGACUGAGACACGGCCCAGACUCAUACGGGAGGCAGCAGUGGGGAAUAUUGCACAAUGGGCGCAAGCCUGAUGCAGCGACGCCGCGGGAGGGAUGGAGGCCUGCGGGUUGUGAACCUCUUUCGCCAGUGAAGCAGGCCUGCCUCGUUUGUGGGUGGGUUGACGGUAGCUGGAUAAGAAGCGCCGGCUAACUACGUG